GGUUAAGCGACUAAGCGUACACGGUGGAUGCCCUGGCAGUCAGAGGCGAUGAAGGACGUGCUAAUCUGCGAUAAGCGUCGGUAAGGUGAUAUGAACCGUUAUAACCGGCGAUUUCCGAAUGGGGAAACCCAGUGUGUUUCGACACACUAUCAUUAACUGAAUCCAUAGGUUAAUGAGGCGAACCGGGGGAACUGAAACAUCUAAGUACCCCGAGGAAAAGAAAUCAACCGAGAUUCCCCCAGUAGCGGCGAGCGAACGGGGAGCAGCCCAGAGCCUGAAUCAGUGUGUGUGUUAGUGGAAGCGUCUGGAAAGGCGCGCGAUACAGGGUGACAGCCCCGUACACAAAAAUGCACAUGCUGUGAGCUCGAUGAGUAGGGCGGGACACGUGGUAUCCUGUCUGAAUAUGGGGGGACCAUCCUCCAAGGCUAAAUACUCCUGACUGACCGAUAGUGAACCAGUACCGUGAGGGAAAGGCGAAAAGAACCCCGGCGAGGGGAGUGAAAAAGAACCUGAAACCGUGUACGUACAAGCAGUGGGAGCACAGAGCAAUCUGUGUGACUGCGUACCUUUUGUAUAAUGGGUCAGCGACUUAUAUUCUGUAGCAAGGUUAACCGAAUAGGGGAGCCGAAGGGAAACCGAGUCUUAACUGGGCGUUAAGUUGCAGGGUAUAGACCCGAAACCCGGUGAUCUAGCCAUGGGCAGGUUGAAGGUUGGGUAACACUAACUGGAGGACCGAACCGACUAAUGUUGAAAAAUUAGCGGAUGACUUGUGGCUGGGGGUGAAAGGCCAAUCAAACCGGGAGAUAGCUGGUUCUCCCCGAAAGCUAUUUAGGUAGCGCCUCGUGAAUUCAUCUCCGGGGGUAGAGCACUGUUUCGGCAAGGGGGUCAUCCCGACUUACCAACCCGAUGCAAACUGCGAAUACCGGAGAAUGUUAUCACGGGAGACACACGGCGGGUGCUAACGUCCGUCGUGAAGAGGGAAACAACCCAGACCGCCAGCUAAGGUCCCAAAGUCAUGGUUAAGUGGGAAACGAUGUGGGAAGGCCCAGACAGCCAGGAUGUUGGCUUAGAAGCAGCCAUCAUUUAAAGAAAGCGUAAUAGCUCACUGGUCGAGUCGGCCUGCGCGGAAGAUGUAACGGGGCUAAACCAUGCACCGAAGCUGCGGCAGCGACGCUGAUGCGUUGUUGGGUAGGGGAGCGUUCUGUAAGCCUGUGAAGGUGUGCUGUGAGGCAUGCUGGAGGUAUCAGAAGUGCGAAUGCUGACAUAAGUAACGAUAAAGCGGGUGAAAAGCCCGCUCGCCGGAAGACCAAGGGUUCCUGUCCAACGUUAAUCGGGGCAGGGUGAGUCGACCCCUAAGGCGAGGCCGAAAGGCGUAGUCGAUGGGAAACAGGUUAAUAUUCCUGUACUUGGUGUUACUGCGAAGGGGGGACGGAGAAGGCUAUGUUGGCCGGGCGACGGUUGUCCCGGUUUAAGCGUGUAGGCUGGUUUUCUAGGCAAAUCCGGAAAAUCAAGGCUGAGGCGUGAUGACGAGGCACUACGGUGCUGAAGCAACAAAUGCCCUGCUUCCAGGAAAAGCCUCUAAGCAUCAGGUAACAUCAAAUCGUACCCCAAACCGACACAGGUGGUCAGGUAGAGAAUACCAAGGCGCUUGAGAGAACUCGGGUGAAGGAACUAGGCAAAAUGGUGCCGUAACUUCGGGAGAAGGCACGCUGAUAUGUAGGUGAAGUCCCUCGCGGAUGGAGCUGAAAUCAGUCGAAGAUACCAGCUGGCUGCAACUGUUUAUUAAAAACACAGCACUGUGCAAACACGAAAGUGGACGUAUACGGUGUGACGCCUGCCCGGUGCCGGAAGGUUAAUUGAUGGGGUUAGCGGUAACGCGAAGCUCUUGAUCGAAGCCCCGGUAAACGGCGGCCGUAACUAUAACGGUCCUAAGGUAGCGAAAUUCCUUGUCGGGUAAGUUCCGACCUGCACGAAUGGCGUAAUGAUGGCCAGGCUGUCUCCACCCGAGACUCAGUGAAAUUGAACUCGCUGUGAAGAUGCAGUGUACCCGCGGCAAGACGGAAAGACCCCGUGAACCUUUACUAUAGCUUGACACUGAACAUUGAGCCUUGAUGUGUAGGAUAGGUGGGAGGCUUAGAAGUGUGGACGCCAGUCUGCAUGGAGCCGACCUUGAAAUACCACCCUUUAAUGUUUGAUGUUCUAACGUGGACCCGUGAUCCGGGUUGCGGACAGUGUCUGGUGGGUAGUUUGACUGGGGCGGUCUCCUCCUAAAGAGUAACGGAGGAGCACGAAGGUUGGCUAAUCCUGGUCGGACAUCAGGAGGUUAGUGCAAUGGCAUAAGCCAGCUUGACUGCGAGCGUGACGGCGCGAGCAGGUGCGAAAGCAGGUCAUAGUGAUCCGGUGGUUCUGAAUGGAAGGGCCAUCGCUCAACGGAUAAAAGGUACUCCGGGGAUAACAGGCUGAUACCGCCCAAGAGUUCAUAUCGACGGCGGUGUUUGGCACCUCGAUGUCGGCUCAUCACAUCCUGGGGCUGAAGUAGGUCCCAAGGGUAUGGCUGUUCGCCAUUUAAAGUGGUACGCGAGCUGGGUUUAGAACGUCGUGAGACAGUUCGGUCCCUAUCUGCCGUGGGCGCUGGAGAACUGAGGGGGGCUGCUCCUAGUACGAGAGGACCGGAGUGGACGCAUCACUGGUGUUCGGGUUGUCAUGCCAAUGGCACUGCCCGGUAGCUAAAUGCGGAAGAGAUAAGUGCUGAAAGCAUCUAAGCACGAAACUUGCCCCGAGAUGAGUUCUCCCUGACUCCUUGAGAGUCCUGAAGGAACGUUGAAGACGACGACGUUGAUAGGCCGGGUGUGUAAGCGCAGCGAUGCGUUGAGCUAACCGGUACUAAUGAACCGUGAGGCUUAACCUU
Molecule: ribosomal RNA, 2908 nt
Filed under: Escherichia coli
Lineage: Bacteria; Pseudomonadati; Pseudomonadota; Gammaproteobacteria; Enterobacterales; Enterobacteriaceae
Description: 23S ribosomal RNA
Rfam family: Bacterial large subunit ribosomal RNA
Source: RNAcentral